CCUACGGGAGGCAGCAGUAGGGAAUCUUCCACAAUGGGCGCAAGCCUGAUGGAGCAACACCGCGUGGGUGAAGAAGGUUUUCGGAUCGUAAAGCCCUGUUGUUAGAGAAGAAAGUGCGUGAGAGUAACUGUUCACGCAGUGACGGUAUCCAACCAGAAAGUCACGGCUAACUACGUGCCAGCAGCCGCGGUAAUACGUAGGUGGCAAGCGUUAUCCGGAUUUAUUGGGCGUAAAGCGAACGCAGGCGGUCGUUUAGGUCUGAUGUGAAAGCCUUCGGCUUAACCGAAGAAGUGCAUUGGAAACUGGGCGACUUGAGUGCAGAAGAGGAAAGUGGAACUCCAUGUGUAGCGGUGAAAUGCGUAGAUAUAUGGAAGAACACCAGUGGCGAAGGCGGCUGUCUGGUCUGUAACUGACGCUGAGGCUCGAAAGCGUGGGUAGCGAACAGGAUUAGAUACCCGUGUAGUC
RNAcentral lists this ribosomal RNA (465 nucleotides) under uncultured bacterium. RNAcentral describes it as "partial 16S ribosomal RNA". It matches the Rfam family "Bacterial small subunit ribosomal RNA", at positions 338 to 795 of the family's 1533-position model. The record is from RNAcentral.